Molecule: small RNA, 119 nt
Filed under: Marmota monax (woodchuck)
Lineage: Eukaryota; Metazoa; Chordata; Mammalia; Rodentia; Sciuridae
Source: RNAcentral
GCUGGGUGUAAUGGCAUACACCUGUAAUCCCAGCAGCUUUGGAGGCUGAGGCAGGAGGAUCACAAGUUCAAUACUAGGCUUAGCAACUUAGUAAGGCCCUGACUGAGACUCUGUCUGGA